GUCAUGAUGGCCAAGUGAGCCACCGAACCAUAAUCUGAAGGCGGAGAAGAUUGUGCAUUGCAUAUUAGUCAAGAUGCAACUCUUAUUUCAUCAACUUGCUGUGAAACAUUCUAUUAGCUGUAGUUGCUAAAAGGACAGUGCAGUUCCUGCUAUGUUCUUCUCUCCUGUGUGUUUUCAGAUCUCUUGUUUUAUGUGAACCUGUAAUGCUUAUCCUGCCUGGUGUGUACUGGUUGCAGUUGCUCCCUUAUGUAGUUAUAUUUUUUUUUCAUCAACUUCCGCUUGACUCAGUAUUAUUUGGAUGGCUGGCUAUUUCUAUUGCCAUGGUAUAUUUGUUCAGUUGAUAGGUGCUACUGUGCUUCAAUGCAAAUUUAUUCAAUCUGAAUUGCUACUG
This 391-nucleotide long non-coding RNA is filed under the name Setaria viridis. RNAcentral describes it as "long non-coding RNA (SVIR_LNC002491)". Lineage: Eukaryota; Viridiplantae; Streptophyta; Magnoliopsida; Poales; Poaceae. The record is from RNAcentral.